UCCGAUAUCGUCUAGCGGUUAGGAUUCCGCCCUUUCACGGCGGCGGCCGGGGUUCGAUUCCCCGUAUCGGAG
Chytridium lagenaria is the source of this 72-nucleotide non-coding RNA. NCBI's taxonomy places the organism in Eukaryota, Fungi, Chytridiomycota, Chytridiomycetes, Chytridiales, Chytridiaceae. The record is from the annotation of a GenBank genome assembly.